This is a long non-coding RNA of Rhincodon typus (whale shark), 836 nucleotides long. RefSeq lists it as uncharacterized. The record is from RefSeq and is a predicted model, not a curated record. Lineage: Eukaryota; Metazoa; Chordata; Chondrichthyes; Orectolobiformes; Rhincodontidae. The transcript has 3 exons.
AUAGAGGUAUUCAACGCCAUGAAAGGUUAUGAUGGAGUACAAAUGGAGAAACAGCUUCCAAUGGCAGAAGGAUGCUGCUUGACAUCGGCCAUAGUCUCUGUAUUGGGCUCCAGGGUUUCGAUUACAGGCCUGCAUCUGCCAUCGCCAUUACCACAACCACAGAAUCCGAGCUGGAGCCAUGGGCUUGGUUUCAUAGCUCCUGUUCCCCAUCCAACACUCCUCCAGACAAUGCCGCCGGAUAUCUGAUGCUGGAGUCCUGGCUCCAGGCUCUUCUACUGUCGAUGCUGCAGGCCCUGUUAUGGUAACCACAAUGGGAGACGAAGCAUGCAACAAUAAAUACCAGGAGCUUUAUUUUAUACUCAAAAGACUCAUCCCCAGAACAUCUGGACAACAAAGACACCUACGUCAGACUCCUGCUUGUUGACUAAAGCUCCGCCUUCAACACCAUUAUCCCCUCCAGACUGAUCUCAAAACUGCGUGACCUUGAUCUCAGCUCCAUCCUCUGCAACUGGAUCCUCAGCUUUCUGAUCCAUAGGCCACAGUCAGUGAGGAUAGGAAACUGCACAUCCUCCACAAUAAUACUCAACACUGAGCCCCCAAGGAUGCGUCCUCAGCCCCCUACUGUAUGCCCUGUACACCUGCGACUGUGUUACCAAAUUCCGAAUGAAUGACAUCUACAAGUUAGUUGAUGACACCACCAUAGUGGGACGAAUAUCUAACACCGACGAGUCAAAAUAUAGAAGGGAGAUAGAGGGCUUGGCAACAUGGUGCAAUGAAAACAAUCUGUCUCUCAAUGUUGGCAAAACUAAAGAUCUGAUCAUUGACUUCAGAAAGAA